UUUUUAUGAUGAUAAACUUUACUUUUCAGUUCUGCUUCUGAACCAAAAAUACCUGAAGAUAACCCUUACCAAAGCUCAAAUAUCUGACAU
RNAcentral lists this small nucleolar RNA (90 nucleotides) under Debaryomyces hansenii. Lineage: Eukaryota; Fungi; Ascomycota; Pichiomycetes; Serinales; Debaryomycetaceae. The record is from RNAcentral.